Molecule: ribosomal RNA, 627 nt
Filed under: uncultured fungus
Lineage: Eukaryota; Fungi
Description: eukaryotic LSU rRNA
Rfam family: 5.8S ribosomal RNA (bases 212-366)
Source: RNAcentral
AAGGAUCAGUAUCGAAUCGUUGACACGAGUUGUCGCUGGCCUUCGAAAGGGGGCACGUGCACGCUCUGUUACACAUCCACUCACCCCUGUGCACCUUUUGUAGUUUUGCGGUCGGGAGGCUCCGCUUCCCUUCUGCGGCUCUACGUCUUUACACACACACACGUGAAAGAAGUCUUGUGGAAUGUAUGCCGCGUUUAACGCAAUACAAUACAACUUUCAGCAACGGAUCUCUUGGCUCUCGCAUCGAUGAAGAACGCAGCGAAAUGCGAUAAGUAAUGUGAAUUGCAGAAUUCAGUGAAUCAUCGAAUCUUUGAACGCACCUUGCGCCCUUUGGCUAUUCCGAAGGGCAUGCCUGUUUGAGUAUCAUGAACACCUCAACUCUCACGUUCCUCGUGAUGAGCUUGGACUUGGGGGCUUUGUUGGCCUGUAGGUCAGCUCUCCUCAAAUGAAUCAGCUCGCCGGUGUCUGGCGGCGUCAUGGGUGUGAUAACCGUCUACUCUCGUGAUCGCUUGCAAAGUAAACCUCUGGUCUGCAGAGGUUCGCCGGAGCUUAUAGACGUCUCUCCUCAGUGAAGACAGCUGUCUGAAGUUCGAUCUCAAAUCAGGUAGGACUACCCGCUGAACUUAA